This 65-nucleotide transfer RNA is filed under the name Dipodomys ordii (Ord's kangaroo rat). It matches the Rfam family "tRNA". Rfam says of the family: Transfer RNA (tRNA) molecules are approximately 80 nucleotides in length. The record is from Rfam by way of RNAcentral. Lineage: Eukaryota; Metazoa; Chordata; Mammalia; Rodentia; Heteromyidae.
GGUGGUUCAGUGGUAGAGCGCUUGCCUUGCACGUAUAAGGCCCUGGGUUCGAUUCCCCAGCACCA